CCUACGGGAGGCUGCAGUGAGGAAUAUUGGUCAAUGGACGCAAGUCUGAACCAGCCAUGCCGCGUGCAGGAUGACGGCUCUAUGAGUUGUAAACUGCUUUUGUACGGGGGUAAACCCCGAUACGUGUAUCGGGUUGAAGGUACCGUACGAAUAAGGAUCGGCUAAUUCCGUGCCAGCAGCCGCGGUAAUACGGAGGAGCCGAGCGUUAUCCGGAUUUAUUGGGUUUAAAGGGUGCGUAGGCGGAUGGUUAAGUUAGAGGUGAAAUGUCGGGGCUAACCGCCGGAACUGCCUCUAAUACUGUCUGACUAGAGUGUAGAUGCGGUAGGCGGAAUGUAUGGUGUAGCGGUGAAAUGCUUAGAGAUCAUACAGAACACCGAUUGCGAAGGCAGCUUACCAAACUAUAUCUGACGUUGAGGCACGAAAGCGUGGGUAGCAAACAGGAUUAGAUACCCGUGUAGUC
Molecule: ribosomal RNA, 460 nt
Filed under: uncultured bacterium
Lineage: Bacteria
Description: partial 16S ribosomal RNA
Rfam family: Bacterial small subunit ribosomal RNA
Source: RNAcentral